RNAcentral lists this ribosomal RNA (253 nucleotides) under uncultured bacterium. RNAcentral describes it as "partial 16S ribosomal RNA". It matches the Rfam family "Bacterial small subunit ribosomal RNA", at positions 524 to 776 of the family's 1533-position model. The record is from RNAcentral.
UACAGAGGUCUCAACCGUUGUUCGGAUUCAUUGGGCGUAAAGGGUGCGUAGGCGGUCGCGUAAGUCAGGUGUGAAAUCUCAGGGCUCAACCCUGAAACUGCACUUGAUACUGCGUGGCUCGGGUACUGGAGAGGAGACUGGAAUUUACGGUGUAGCAGUGAAAUGCGUAGAUAUCGUAAGGAAGACCAGUGGCGAAGGCGAGUCUCUGGACAGUUACUGACACUGAGGCACGAAGGCCAGGGGAGCAAACGGG